CUGUCGUCAGCUCGUGUCGUGAGUAUUGGUUUGGGUUAACGUCCCGCAAACGAGCGCCAACCUUGUCAUUAGUUGCCAUCAUUUGGUUGGGCACUCUAAUGAGACUGCCGGUGACAAACCGGAGGAAGGUGGGGAUGACGUCAAGUCCUCAUGGCCCUUAUGGGUAGGGCUUCACACGUCAUACAAUGGUCGGUACAGAGGGUUGCCAACCCGCGAGGGGGAGCUAAUCCCACAAAGCCGAUCGUAGUCCGGAUCGCAGUCUGCAACUCGACUGCGUGAAGUCGGAAUCGCUAGUAAUCGUGGAUCAGCAUGUCACGGUGAAUACGUUCCCGGGUCUU
This 338-nucleotide ribosomal RNA is filed under the name uncultured Rhodocyclaceae bacterium. RNAcentral's name for it is "bacterial SSU rRNA". It matches the Rfam family "Bacterial small subunit ribosomal RNA", at positions 1049 to 1382 of the family's 1533-position model. The record is from RNAcentral. Lineage: Bacteria; Pseudomonadati; Pseudomonadota; Betaproteobacteria; Rhodocyclales; Rhodocyclaceae.